Molecule: ribosomal RNA, 305 nt
Filed under: uncultured bacterium
Lineage: Bacteria
Description: bacterial SSU rRNA
Rfam family: Bacterial small subunit ribosomal RNA
Source: RNAcentral
UGGGCCUACGGGACGCAGCAGUGGGGAAUAUUGCGCAAUGGGGGGAACCCUGACGCAGCAACGCCGCGUGCAGGAAGAAGGUCUUCGGAUUGUAAACUGUUGUCGCAGGGGAAGAAGACAGUGACGGUACCCUGUGAGAAAGUCACGGCUAACUACGUGCCAGCAGCCGCGGUAAUACGUAGGUGACAAGCGUUGUCCGGAUUUACUGGGUGUAAAGGGAGCGCAGGCGGUGCGGCAAGUCUGAUGUGAAAGCCCGGGGCUCAACCCCGGGACUGCAUUGGAAACUACCGAACUAGAGUGUCGGG